Molecule: long non-coding RNA, 503 nt
Organism: Lutra lutra (Eurasian river otter)
Lineage: Eukaryota; Metazoa; Chordata; Mammalia; Carnivora; Mustelidae
Exons: 4
Source: RefSeq, a predicted model, not a curated record
ACAGGGUCCUGCCUUCUGGGGGCUAACGGCCUGGCGAAGGAGGAAAGGAGCCGUGGUAGAAUUUAUUUUGAAAGCUGCCUCUACUUCCUCUGUGGGAUGUGAAUGGAGCGUGCUCACAGCUGAAGGUGGGAAACCGGGAUGACCUGGCAGCGUCCUGUAGCAGAAUGGCACACUGAAGAAAUCGGCCAGGGAGGGACCCCGGACUCUUGGCACCUGUGAGGACAGUGCCAGGCUGUGGGAACCGUGACAACUGCCCUCCAUGACAAAACGUCUCUGUCCUGUCCUGUCUCUCUGUCUGCGAAGGGGAAGAAAAUGCAACUGCAAAGGCUCUGAAUGCACAAGCUGGUUACGUCUCACCUGGGAGGGCUGAGGUGACUCCGGGCAGGGGGUGGGGGGGUCACCACAACUCCGACUUCUCCUGGAGCACGCCUGGCCUCGUGUACCACCUCCGCCUACAGAGCUCCUGACACCAGGGAGAUACAGGGUGUCAUUUGGCAGAGAUG